CCUAUAUCUCAUCCGCCGCCGCCGCCGCCGCCCCAUGGGCUCAAUGCCGUCACUGCCGCUGGACUCGACACCACCUCCGCCGCCUGGACUAGACCGGUGACGGCUCUCCCCAGCAUCCUCUCCUCCGGACGGCAGGACCAGAUUGGAUAAUGCCAAAAGCCCGAAAGGCCUGCGGUGGACAUUGUCAUUACCUGAAGAUAGCUGACUGAAUAUUGUGACAUCUCUUGGAACAUCAAACCAGGCAGUGUUGGAGAAGAUGGCGUCCCAGAUUUGGUAGUAGAGAUUGUGAAGAGCAAUAUGGAUAUCUACCUUACUGAGAGGGAAUGUAGGUGUAAUACAUAGUGCUUAUUAUGAUUCAAAAGAAGGAUAAUUGAGUUGCAGCUGAAUUCUCCGGUGGGAUCAAGCAGCAAAUAAAAAUAGAAGAUUUUACUUAGCAAUACAUGUAGUUUGUAGUUUACAGUGAUAGAUUGAAAAUUGUAAUACCAUUCGCAAGAACUCUUUCCUUGGUCGAAUUGAUGCAAAUGCUAUGGUGUAAUAUUUUCCAUAGUUGUGUUCUCUAUAGUCAAAUUGAUAUGAAUGAUAUGUUGUUGCACCAAUAUAUUGGUAUUUUUUUAAUUGUAAUGCAUAUGUAUCCUACACUCUUGUAUAUUUAUAAUAAAUAUAUUGAUGUUUUUUA
Molecule: long non-coding RNA, 676 nt
Organism: Triticum dicoccoides
Lineage: Eukaryota; Viridiplantae; Streptophyta; Magnoliopsida; Poales; Poaceae
Exons: 4
Source: RefSeq, a predicted model, not a curated record